Molecule: ribosomal RNA, 392 nt
Filed under: uncultured bacterium
Lineage: Bacteria
Description: partial 16S ribosomal RNA
Rfam family: Bacterial small subunit ribosomal RNA
Source: RNAcentral
AUACGUAGGUGGCAAGCGUUAUCCGGAAUUAUUGGGCGUAAAGAGGGAGCAGGCGGCAGCAAGGGUCUGUGGUGAAAGCCUGAAGCUUAACUUCAGUAAGCCAUAGAAACCAGGCAGCUAGAGUGCAGGAGAGGAUCGUGGAAUUCCAUGUGUAGCGGUGAAAUGCGUAGAUAUAUGGAGGAACACCAGUGGCGAAGGCGACGAUCUGGCCUGCAACUGACGCUCAGUCCCGAAAGCGUGGGGAGCAAAUAGGAUUAGAUACCCUAGUAGUCCACGCCGUAAACGAUGAGUACUAAGUGUUGGAUGUCAAGGUUCAGUGCUGCAGUUAACGCAAUAAGUACUCCGCCUGAGUAGUACGUUCGCAAGAAUGAAACUUAAAGGAAUUGACGGGG